This 479-nucleotide ribosomal RNA is filed under the name uncultured bacterium. RNAcentral's name for it is "partial 16S ribosomal RNA". It matches the Rfam family "Bacterial small subunit ribosomal RNA", at positions 28 to 507 of the family's 1533-position model. The record is from RNAcentral.
GAUGAACGCUAGCGGGAGGCCUAACACAUGCAAGCCGAGCGGUAGAGUUUCUUCGGAAACUUGAGAGCGGCGCACGGGUGCGUAACACGUGUGCAACCUACCUUUAUCUGGGGGAUAGCCUUUCGAAAGGAAGAUUAAUACCCCAUAAUAUAAUGAUUGGCAUCAAUUAUUAUUGAAAACUCCGGUGGAUAGAGAUGGGCACGCGCAAGAUUAGAUAGUUGGUGAGGUAACGGCUCACCAAGUCAAUGAUCUUUAGGGGUCCUGAGAGGGAGAUCCCCCACACUGGUACUGAGACACGGACCAGACUCCUACGGGAGGCAGCAGUGAGGAAUAUUAGACAAUGGGUGAGAGCCUGAUCCAGCCAUCCCGCGUGAAGGAUGACGGUCCUAUGGAUUGUAAACUUCUUUUGUACAGGGAUAAACCUACCCUCGUGAGGGUAGCUGAAGGUACUGUACGAAUAAGCACCGGCUAACUCCGUG